This is a long non-coding RNA of Danio aesculapii, 1222 nucleotides long. RefSeq lists it as uncharacterized. NCBI's taxonomy places the organism in Eukaryota, Metazoa, Chordata, Actinopteri, Cypriniformes, Danionidae. The record is from RefSeq and is a predicted model, not a curated record. The transcript has 4 exons.
CCAUAUUUUUUUCUGAGCACACACGACGACAUUUUGGAUUAUCCACAUGUGGUACGUUUGCAGCUCCAUGACUUAACUACCUGUAAAGUACUGUUAGAUUUUUAAAAUCACAUUUAAACUUUCAAUCAACACAGAACUGCAACAAUGAUUUGACUGUGUGAAUUUGAAAAGCAAGAUAUAGCUUAGCAUAAGGACUCGGUAGUCCUCACAUUACUCCUGUAGCCUGGAUGGAUAUUUUACCUGAACUUUUAGCAACAGUGCAAAGAUUGAACGUUAUAAUUUGUGGUUACCUGAACUGGUACAUAGCCCUGCAAUUUAUGACAGAUUUGAACUGCGUGCCUCUGUUUGCAACUCCAUGGUACUUACAAGAAGGAUAAUUGGAUAAUUUGGAUAUUUUCGACGAGGUAAGAAGCUCUAUCUUUGAUCGUACUAUCUUUAAAUUACUUAUUAAAUUUAAAUAUUAUGCCAUAAACAUCCUAUCAACACAUAACCUAAGCAUCUGUUUAUUUAAUUGCAGGAUCUGACCAUGUGAAUGUCUUGAGAGGAGAAAGGGGUAACGUUAGCCUAAUUUAGCACGCUAACGAUAGCUGAAGGACUCAUUUUCAGAUCACACGCAGAUGUCUGCCACCACUGCUGAUCUUGAAAAGAUGGGUAACCUGCCUGUGACUCCUCGUUUGAUCCUGCAUGGUCCAGAUGUUACUCCGGGCCAGUGGAUGAAACAAUGGAUGAUCAGCAUGGAAGGGAGAGUAAUCUGUGAGGGUGUGCAGCCACAUUUUUUUCUGGACUUGCUGCAGUGUUUUCUUUGUACAACAUCUUCAGUUUGCAGUACCAGGAGGAAACAGCAUGCACACUGGAAUUCCUUUAAAGAUGCUGUGCUGGGAUAAAUCCAGAGAAGGGAACCUGCGAGGGGAAGGCUGCGAGGGGAAAUGUGACAUCAAAAAAAAAACAAAAAAAACUGGCAAGACCGGCAAAAGUUCAUGAGAAGACCAUGACCGUAAACCCCAAGGUUUCAAAUCUUUUAAAGAAACUAAUGGACUUUUUUUGAUGGGACUUUAUUUAAAAUGUAGCUAGCUGGCAACCCCCCCCCCCCCUACUUUUGCAAUAUUGUUAUAUAAACCAGAGGCCAUUUUUUAUUUUUUAUUUUUAUUUAAUUUUUUUUUUUGCUGAAAGCUCAUUUUGGGGCUAUAUAUUUUUUAUUUUAUAUCCAAGACUAAAUUGCAAA